Molecule: long non-coding RNA, 512 nt
Organism: Corticium candelabrum
Lineage: Eukaryota; Metazoa; Porifera; Homoscleromorpha; Homosclerophorida; Plakinidae
Exons: 3
Source: RefSeq, a predicted model, not a curated record
CGCAAAACGUCGAGCAGUCUUGAAUGCCAGACCGGGCGGGCAGACAGACAAGCAAGAAGCAGCGCGAAACUUUCAGCAAUUGAAUGAUGAUGAUGAUAAUUGAGCAGCCUCAAUCUCAGCUACUAAAAUCAUGAAAAAUGUGGUUUUCUUGAAAUUGUUGCACGUAGAAUUGAUCUAGCUCUGUCAGUUCAUGUCUAGGACUGUCUAUUGGUGGUCGAUCGGUACCUUUGCAAUUGAUCUCAUGCUGCAAUUACAAGAGUAACAUUCUAUAAUUACCAAUUACUUAAGAUUAAUUUAGUCUUUUUUAUUCAAAGUCACAUAAAUUUUGCAAUUGCUAUAUUAAAUACAAUGAAGUCAUGUUUGGUACUAUUUAAUUAACCAAUUAAGUAAGCACAAGUGUCAAAUCUGAAUUAUUCUCGAAUGACUUAAAUUCUUUUCAUACUUGAUUAUCAAGUCAAACACUUCAAUGAUUAACUGCUUUGAUGUAUUCAUAAGCAGCUUUUAUCUGCAUG